CCGACGGGAGGCAGCAGUAAGGAAUAUUGGUCAAUGGGCGCAAGCCUGAACCAGCCAUGCCGCGUGCAGGAAGACGGCCCUAUGGGUUGUAAACUGUUUUUGAACAAGAGAAAACCUCGGUACGUGCACCGAGCUGAUAGUAUUGUUAGAAUAAGCAUCGGCUAACUUCGUGCCAGCAGCCGCGGUAAGACGAAGGAUGCAAGCGUUAUCCGGAUUCAUUGGGUUUAAAGGGUGCGUAGGCGGCCUGAUAAGUCAGUGGUGAAAUCUCUCAGCUUAACUGAGAAACUGCCAUUGAUACUGUCGGGCUUGAGUACAGAUGAUGUGGGCGGAAUAUGACAUGUAGUGGUGAAAUACUUAGAUAUGUCAUAGAACACCGAUUGCGAAGGCAGCUCACAAAACUGUAACUGACGCUGAGGCACGAAAGUGCGGGGAUCAAACAGGAUUAGAUACCCUGGUAGUCCGCACCGUAACGAUGAUUACUCGUUGUUGGCAUAUGACCGUCAGCGACCAGCGAAAGCGANAGAUCCCNCGNGGAGAGCGCGACGAGACGACGAGAGUAGAGCGNGAGAGNGCGAGGCGCGACGAGGGAGAG
RNAcentral lists this ribosomal RNA (592 nucleotides) under uncultured bacterium. RNAcentral's name for it is "bacterial SSU rRNA". The stretch from base 1 to 530 matches the Rfam family "Bacterial small subunit ribosomal RNA", at positions 338 to 873 of the family's 1533-position model. The record is from RNAcentral.